This 252-nucleotide ribosomal RNA is filed under the name uncultured bacterium. RNAcentral describes it as "partial 16S ribosomal RNA". It matches the Rfam family "Bacterial small subunit ribosomal RNA", at positions 524 to 776 of the family's 1533-position model. The record is from RNAcentral.
UACGGGGGGAGCAAGCGUUGUUCGGAUUUACUGGGCGUAAAGGGCGCGUAGGCGGCGUAACAAGUCACUUGUGAAAUCUCCGGGCUUAACUCGGAGCGGUCAAGUGAUACUGUUGUGCUAGAGUGCGGAAGGGGCUACUGGAAUUCUCGGUGUAGCGGUGAAAUGCGUAGAUAUCGAGAGGAACACCUGCGGCGAAGGCGGGUAGCUGGGCCGACACUGACGCUGAGGCACGAAGGCCAGGGAGCAAACGGG